Molecule: transfer RNA, 66 nt
Filed under: Phyllomimus sp. YH-2018
Lineage: Eukaryota; Metazoa; Arthropoda; Insecta; Orthoptera; Tettigoniidae
Description: tRNA-Asn
Source: RNAcentral
UUAAUUGAAACCAAAGUAGAGGUAUAUUAUUGUUAAUAAUAAAAAUGAAAUUAAAUUCCAAUUAAU